RNAcentral lists this long non-coding RNA (776 nucleotides) under Hordeum vulgare. RNAcentral describes it as "long non-coding RNA (HVUL_LNC020410)". Lineage: Eukaryota; Viridiplantae; Streptophyta; Magnoliopsida; Poales; Poaceae. The record is from RNAcentral.
GCCAAGCCGUCGGCGACGCCUCCAGCCCUUUGUACAGUCUUGAUCUGCAGCAUGCGGAAGGAGGAACAAGCAACGCGGGUCAAUAGCAAUCAGCAAUCAGCAACGCUGCCUCCCAGUCCCAGGUGCUGAGGUGCACAAUUCUGCGAUACAGCUUCUGGAGCUGGAACCUGAAGCACUUGUUAUACUCGACAGUUCGACUGCAGGUAGAGUAUCCUUACCUGAGAAGACAGAAGAGCACCAUGGCUGGCUCGUGUGCUAUGUUUCCCUAGCUUGGAGUCGGCUUCUUCGGCAUCAACAUCACUCAUCAAGAGGAACGUUAAGGCGCCCUGAUUCACGGGAGAUUCUCCUAUGGCAGUUGGGAAGUUUAUAGUGGGUGCAAUUGUGUCAAACACAAGUGUCAUUUAGACUAAUUAGUUUCAGUCAUGUUAGAAUAAUGAAAAGGGUUCCAGAUUCAGAAGUUAUAUUUCGGUAGUGCCAUCAAGUGAUGGUCGUUGCAGAACAUUGUUAAGAUGAAGCAUUUUUACGUAGGUUGUAAAAGGGUCAUAACAGUGAAGUUAUAAUGGUCGGGUUGAAACUUACCAUUUCACCAAUCACCAAGCUAUCAAAUGAAAUGAAAAUUUCUACCAGUUUGGGGUCAAUGCAUAAAUAAAAUAAAAUUGCAUAUCUGGAUUCAGUAUGACUACCUUAAACAGGCACCGUUUUGAAUUAUAAAUUAUAAUGUCCCAUGAUGAUCUCAUGUUGAGUGGAACAUGCUAUCUUUGUCACUUGUUCAUGUC